UUUUAAAUCAAUAAGCCAACCAACCUUUUACACAAUGAGUGUCCAAGGGAUUCGACAACCUGUACCAUUUUAUCAACAUUGUGACUAAAUCAUUCUUCUUCUCAGAGCUCAAAGAAGGCCUUUGGGCCUACCACUCCAAUAGUUCACAUACUUACAACUUUGCACACAAAUUCUUUAUUAAAUUAUUACCAAUGUCUCCUACCAAGAAAUUAGUCUCAAGAUGAC
Non-coding RNA from Pelobates cultripes (western spadefoot toad), 225 nucleotides. The record is from the annotation of a GenBank genome assembly. Lineage: Eukaryota; Metazoa; Chordata; Amphibia; Anura; Pelobatidae.